This 135-nucleotide ribosomal RNA is filed under the name uncultured bacterium. RNAcentral describes it as "partial 16S ribosomal RNA". It matches the Rfam family "Bacterial small subunit ribosomal RNA", at positions 355 to 482 of the family's 1533-position model. The record is from RNAcentral.
UAGGGAAUCUUCCGCAAUGGACGAAAGUCUGACGGAGCAACGCCGCGUGAGUGAUGAAGGUUUUCGGAUCGUAAAACUCUGUUGUUAGGGAAGAACAAGUACCGGAGUAACUGCCGGUACCUUGACGGUACCUAA